Molecule: ribosomal RNA, 395 nt
Filed under: uncultured bacterium
Lineage: Bacteria
Description: bacterial SSU rRNA
Rfam family: Bacterial small subunit ribosomal RNA
Source: RNAcentral
AUCUUGGACAAUGGGGGCAACCCUGAUCCAGCGACGCCACGUGGGUGAUGAAGGCCUUCGGGUUGUAAAGCCCUUUUGCCGGGGGCGAUGAUGACGGUACCCGGCGAAUAAGCACCGGCUAACUCCGUGCCAGCAGCCGCGGUAAGACGGAGGGUGCUAGCGUUGUUCGGAAUUACUGGGCGUAAAGGGCGCGUAGGCGGCCGGCUGCGUCGGAUGUGAAAGCCCGGGGCUCAACCCCGGAACGGCAUCCGAUACGGGCUGGCUGGAGACCGGGAGAGGAGGGUGGAAUAGCCAGUGUAGAGGUGAAAUUCGUAGAUAUUGGCUGGAACACCGGUGGCGAAAGCGGCUCUCUGGCCCGGUUCUGACGCUGAGGCGCGAAGGCGUGGGGAGCAAAC